Molecule: long non-coding RNA, 208 nt
Filed under: Elaeis guineensis (African oil palm)
Lineage: Eukaryota; Viridiplantae; Streptophyta; Magnoliopsida; Arecales; Arecaceae
Description: long non-coding RNA (EGUI_LNC054400)
Source: RNAcentral
CCCAGACCAUGGCUUAUAAUUAUUUUGAGAUCAAACCCCAAACAUUCAAUAUGCAUCCUCAAUUCACUAGAAAUGAGGAUGCAUAUGUAUUAAUGGAGUUUGAAGAUGACCAAAGGUUCAAUUCACUAGAGAAAAGCUUAGAAAUCCUAAUGAAGUCACAUACCAACUUUAUGUAUACCAUGACCAACUUUUAAAUUCAAACACCCAA